Ipomoea nil (Japanese morning glory) is the source of this 82-nucleotide transfer RNA. It matches the Rfam family "tRNA". Rfam says of the family: Transfer RNA (tRNA) molecules are approximately 80 nucleotides in length. Lineage: Eukaryota; Viridiplantae; Streptophyta; Magnoliopsida; Solanales; Convolvulaceae. The record is from Rfam.
GUCAGUAUGUCCGAGUGGUUAAGGAGAUAGACUUGAAAUCUAUUGGGCUUUGCCUGCGCAGGUUUGAAUCCUGCUGUUGACG